GCCGGGUGCGGUAGCUCGCGCCUGUAAUCCCAGCGCUUUGGGAGGCAGAGGUGGGUGGAUCACCUGAAGUCAGGAGUUCUAGACCAGCCUGGCCAACAUGGUGAAACCCCAUCUCUA
Macaca fascicularis (crab-eating macaque) is the source of this 117-nucleotide unclassified non-coding RNA. It matches the Rfam family "Metazoan signal recognition particle RNA". Rfam says of the family: The signal recognition particle (SRP) is a universally conserved ribonucleoprotein. It is involved in the co-translational targeting of proteins to membranes. The eukaryotic SRP consists of a 300-nucleotide 7S RNA and six proteins: SRPs 72, 68, 54, 19, 14, and 9. NCBI's taxonomy places the organism in Eukaryota, Metazoa, Chordata, Mammalia, Primates, Cercopithecidae. The record is from Ensembl.